UGGGGAAUAUUGCACAAUGGGCGCAAGCCUGAUGCAGCCAUGCCGCGUGUGUGAAGAAGGCCUUCGGGUUGUAAAGCACUUUCAGCGGGGAGGAAGGCGUUAAGGUUAAUAACCUUGGCGAUUGACGUUACCCGCAGAAGAAGCACCGGCUAACUCCGUUCCAGCAGCCGCGGUAAUACGGAGGGUGCAAGCGUUAAUCGGAAUUACUGGGCGUAAAGGGCACGCAGGCGGUCUGUCAAGUCGGAUGUGAAAUCCCCGGGCUCAACCUGGGAACUGCAUUCGAAACUGGCAGGCUAGAGUCUUGUAGAGGGGGGUAGAAUUCCAGGUGUAGCGGUGAAAUGCGUAGAGAUCUGGAGGAAUCCCGGUGGCGAAGGCGGCCCCCUGGACAAAGACUGACGCUCAGGUGCGAAAGCGUGGGGAGCAAACAGG
This 429-nucleotide ribosomal RNA is filed under the name Chloroflexota bacterium. Its description in RNAcentral is "Chloroflexi bacterium partial 16S ribosomal RNA". It matches the Rfam family "Bacterial small subunit ribosomal RNA", at positions 355 to 776 of the family's 1533-position model. The record is from RNAcentral. Lineage: Bacteria; Bacillati; Chloroflexota.